AGUGAACGCUGGCGGUAGGCCUAACACAUGCGAGUCGAACGGCAGCACAGUAAGAGCUUGCUCUUACGGGUGGCGAGUGGCGGACGGGUGAGGAAUACAUCGGAAUCUACUUUUUCGUGGGGGAUAACGUAGGGAAACUUACGCUAAUACCGCAUACGACCUACGGGUGAAAGCAGGGGAUCUUCGGACCUUUCGCGAUUGAAUGAGCCGAUGUCGGAUUAGCUAGUUGGCGGGGUAAAGGCCCACCAAGGCGACGAUCCGUAGCUGGUCUGAGAGGAUGAUCAGCCACACUGGAACUGAGACACGGUCCAGACUCCUACGGGAGGCAGCAGUGGGGAAUAUUGGACAAUGGGCGAAAGCCUGAUCCAGCCAUACCGCGUGGGUGAAGAAGGCCUUCGGGUUGUAAAGCCCUUUUGUUGGGAAAGAAAAGCAGCAGGUUAAUACCCCGCUGUUCUGACGGUACCCAAAGAAUAAGCACCGGCUAACUUCGUG
This 492-nucleotide ribosomal RNA is filed under the name uncultured bacterium. RNAcentral's name for it is "partial 16S ribosomal RNA". It matches the Rfam family "Bacterial small subunit ribosomal RNA", at positions 29 to 507 of the family's 1533-position model. The record is from RNAcentral.